GUCUGAGGUGAUUCCCUCUCCAAGGGUGCAAAUAGUGCCCAUCUCAGGAAAGUAGCAAUUGGAGUUGUAUCUGGCGAGCCUGAUCAAGGUCUUUAGGAGAGAGGGGAUGUUUUUCCUUUGCCUUCCUUUAAUACAUACCUGA
RNAcentral lists this small nucleolar RNA (142 nucleotides) under Dasypus novemcinctus (nine-banded armadillo). RNAcentral's name for it is "Small nucleolar RNA SNORA67 (ENSDNOG00000026082.1)". It matches the Rfam family "Small nucleolar RNA SNORA67". From Rfam's summary of the family: U67 belongs to the H/ACA class of snoRNAs which are thought to guide the sites of modification of uridines to pseudouridines. Lineage: Eukaryota; Metazoa; Chordata; Mammalia; Cingulata; Dasypodidae. The record is from RNAcentral.